UUCUAAACAGUAAGAAGAUAAUGCUCUCCCCUCCUCCCAUCCCAUCAAUCAUCACCAGAUCUUCAAUAAAAGUAAGUGUCAUUUAAUUGUGCAUGCCUUUUUCAGUUUGUGUGUAUUAAAAUUAACAUUUCAUGUGGUAAAAAAAAAAUUUUUUCAUACUUUUGGGCGUCUUGCACGGAUUAAUUUUAUUUCCAUUAUUUCUUAUGGGGAAAAUUCAUUCGCAUAACGAUUAUUUCGCAUAACGAUUAUCCCUCUUGCACGGAUUAAAAUCGUUAACCGGGGGUCCACUGUAUUAAGUUUUGAGAAACAUUGGGUAAUGGCCAGUUGUACUAUUCAUUUUUUAUGCUGUCUCCAGCUUACAAACAUCCAAACAUCUGCAUUUAUAAGCAGGGCACUUGUGAACCAGAGAGGUAUACAGUGAUAGCUCUCAUAUCCGAAUUAUAUGUGCCGAGACCGGUUUGGAAACUCGAAGUUUCCAGAUACGUGAGGGGGGAAAAAUGCACAUCCAUUCCAUCAUAUCGCCAUCCAUACCCUGUUAUAUCGCCAUCAGCAAUGGCAUUGUAAGUUUAAAAAAGGAGUCCAGUGUCAUCUGGUGGUAGUCCCAGACACUGGAUUUCAUGGAGCACAUGACCAUAACUUUUCAAAUGGGCUGUGGACAGUGGAUGCUCCAAAUACUCCAAAAGUGUUUUGACACCUGCCCUUGCUGCUGAAGUUUUUGAUCUUGGAGACAUUGGGUCGUCUUCGCCGUUGUCACUUUUGGAAUGUUUCAGGUGAAACGCUGAUUUUACAAUCUCUGCAUCCAUCGUAUUGCACACCAGGAUCAUUUUCGUCACUCACUAGCCAAUUCUGCACAUCAGCACCACGAACCAUCAUACCACUACCACGUUGUUGUAGGUACCACUUCAUCACACAGUGAUAGAGUUCCAAGCUCUGUGGCUUUGCCAUCACUUUUGUUUCAGCACUUUUUCCUGUUUUUGAGGCGGCAGAAAACUCACUUGUGUAGGUUAUAAUCUUAUCACGAGCCUUCUUGAUAUCACAGAGGGUGGCUAAGAGCAUGACUCUUAGUGGCCACCCAGUACACUAAAGUGCAUGCCAAGUUUGAUUCAGCCUUCUGCCAUAUCCGAACGGCUGUUCAGAUGUUUCGGCAAUAAUUUUAGUAUUUUGCCCUUUUCCAGGGCCUGGUCAGAUGUUGGCGAGGUUCAGAUAAUGGCAGGCCGGUUAUGUGAGGUAUCGCUGUACUUUUAGAAGGUAUAUUUGUGAAAAAGAAAGGUAUACUUUUAGAAGGUAUACUUGUGAGCCAGAGAGGUAUACUUUUAGAAAUAGCUAUCAUCUGCUAUACCUGAGAAUGUUGUAUUGUGCCCAGCGAGGAUAGAUAUAAAAAUAUAAUCAUUAUUACCAGAAUUUAUUGUUGUAAGUAACAGUCGAGGAGGUGAAUGUGAGGCUUAUCACAAUUCUGUUUCAGCAUCCACACUCGUGAAUACCUCACUUCAGUUAAUGUUUUACAACCACUACUGUGUGGCCCUUUCAUGUUUAGCACUUACCUUGAUUAUUCAGAUUCAGAUUUUUAUUUGUUUUAUGCAGUACACAUAGUUUAAUAAAAUAUUGUUAGGUGCAAAAGAAAGCCACUAGUAUGCAGUGUAUUUUGAGCAAACUAAUCUUAAUGCUUCAGGACUACUUAAGAACUAGACACAGAUUGUUGACACUCACUGAACCACAGUACAAACAUGUGAAAUAUACCUGCCCAGUGGCAGCCAUAACGAAUUUAGUUAUUUAGUAAACAGAGGUAUACAGGCGCGCCUCGCUUUACAGUACUUCACUAAAAGGGUUUUUCAGUUACAGUGGACCCCCGCAUAACGAUUACCUCCGAAUGCGACCAAUUAUGUAAGUGUAUUUAUGUAAGUGCGUUUGUACGUGUAUGUUUGGGGGUCUGAAAUGGACUAAUCUACUUCACAAUAUUCCUUAUGGGAAUAAAUUCGGUCAGUACUGGCACCUGAACAUAAUUAUGGAGUGAAAAAAUAUCGUUAACCGGAGGUCCACUGUAUACCCAUUUAUUUAUUCAGACUUCCUACAAUAAAUAUAUUUACCACUCUAAGCUAAGGAUGAAAAUAUCUUAAGUAAUGUGUGUACUGUAUACACAUUUUUUAAGCCUAGCUCUAUUGUUCACUUAAUAUAUGACAGUGUAAAUGUGUUACCAGGCUUUUAUAUGCAUUUGAAAGUGAAAAAGACUGAUUCACUUUACAGUAAUAGCCCAGAACCUAACCUGCUGUACAGGUCCCCACUUAUACAGCAGGUUAGGUUCUGGGCUACUGCUGUACUGGAGGUUCCCACUUAUACGGCAGGUUAGGUUCCGGGCUACUGCUGUACUGGAGGUCCCCACUUAUACGGCAAGUUAGGUUCCGGGCUACUGCUGUACUGGAGGUUCCCACUUAUACAGCAGGUUAGGUUUUGGGCUACUGCUGUACAGGAGGUCCCCACUUACACAGCAGGUUAGGUUCUGGGCUACUGCUGUACUGGAGGUUCCCACUUAUGCGGCAGGUUAGGUUCUGGGCUACUGCUGUACUGGAGGUUCCCACUUAUACGGCAAGUUAGGUUCCGGGCUACUGCUGUACUGGAGGUCCCCACUUAUACGGCAGGUUAGGUUCCAGGCUACUGCUGUACUGGAGGUCCCCACUUAUACGGCAGGUUAGGUUCCAGGCUACUGCUGUACUGGAGGUCCCCACUUAUACGGCAGGUUAGGUUCCAGGCUACUGCUGUACUGGAGGUCCCCACUUAUACGGCAGGUUAGGUUCCAGGCUACUGCUGUACUGGAGGUCCCCACUUAUACGGCUGGUUAGGCUCCGGGCUACUGCUGUACUGGAGGUCCCCACUUAUACGGCUGGUUUGGUUCCGGGCUACUGCUGUACUGGAGGUCCCCACUUAUACGGCAGGUUAGGUUCCAGGCUACUGCUGUACUGGAGGUCCCCACUUAUACGGCUGGUUAGGCUCCGGGCUAUUGCUGUACUGGAGGUCCCCACUUAUACGGCUGGUUAGGCUCUGGGCUACUGCUGUACUGGAGGUCCCCACUUAUACGGCUGGUUAGGUUCCGGGCUACUGCUGUACUGGAGGUCCCCACUUAUACAGUAGGUUAGGUUUUGGGCUACUGCUGUAUAGGAGGUCCCCACUUAUACGGCUGGUUAGGUUCCGGGCUACUGCUGUACUGGAGGUCCCCACUUAUACAGUAGGUUAGGUUUUGGGCUACUGCUGUACUGGAGGUCCCCACUUAUACUGCUGGUUAGGUUCCGGGCUGCUGCUGUACUGGAGGUCCCCACUUACACAGUAGGUUAGGUUUUGGGCUACUGCUGUAUAGGAGGCCCCCACUUAUACAGCAGGCUAGGUUCUGGGCUACUACUGUACAGGAGGGCCCCACUUAUACAGCAGGUUAGGUUCUGGGCUACUGCUGUACAGGAGGGCCCCACUUAUACAGCAGGUUAGGUUCUGGGCUACUACUGUACAGGAGGGCCCCACUUAUACAGCAGGUUAGGUUCUGGGCUACUGCUGUACAGGAGGGCCCCACUUAUACAGCAGGUUAGGCUCCGGGCUACUGCUGUACAGGAGGGCCUUACUUAUACAGCAGGUUAGGUUCUGGGCUACUGCUGUACAGGAGGGCCUCACUUAUACAGCAGGUUAGGUUCCGGGCUACUGCUGUACAGGAGGGCCUCACUUAUACAGCAGGUUAGGUUCCGGGCUACUGCUGUACAGGAGGGCCUCACUUAUACAGCAGGUUAGGUUCCGGGCUACUGCUGUAAGUACAAAUGUUGUACUCUGUGUCUUCUAUAUUGAUUUUUUGUUCUUCAGUAGUUUAACAUCAUUGGUUUGGCAGACAUUUGAAGCUAGUUCAGUUGAUUCAGAAAUAAAAUCCUUUGGUUGGAGAAUGUUUACAAUGAUGGCCAAUUAACAUGAUCUGUGUCCACCACAGUUGCUAUUACCAGCCUUCUGCUCGCCCAUAUUAAUAAUAAUACAUCUAGGUCUUGAUUAGUGAGAAUGAUGAAUCCCUGUAAAGUGGUCACAUUAUUCAAAUUCACAUUUCAAUGCAAUUAUUGUGCAUGAAUUGAAAAGUUUGGGGAGAAAACUAACACUAAUUUUGCACUAAAUAAUCACACUAAUCGAAACCUGGAUGUAAUUUGUUUUCCACUAAAUUUUUUUAACCCUUAAACUGUCCAAACAUAGAUCUACGUUCAUGUGCGUAGCGCUCCGACCUUUAUCUUCCCCGUUUGAAAGCAUGUAAAAAAAAAAAAAGAUCUAUGUUUGGAACCCCCCCCCCCACACACACACACACACGUGGGCAUAGAUCUACGUUUGGACAGUUAAGGGUUAGUGACUCAUGAAAUCAUGAUAAUUCCAAAUAAACCACGGUACGGGUGGGGUUAGAACCCAUGGCAAGUGAGUCGUAAAACUUCAGGCUAGUGCAUAAGUGAUCCCAGGCGCCUCUGGUCAGAGGUGCCUGGGAUCACUUAGUAUCUUAGUCCAUCAGAUUGACGAUUUAUUUUUAAUUUACAUAUCUAUUUAAAGGAUUGUUAAAUUUAAAUGUGAUAAACUAUUGGGAAAUGUUGCCUUAGAUGGUGAAGACUGACUCAGUGUACAGAGAUAUGACCCUUCAAGGUGGUGCCUUGAUAUGUGACCCUUCAAGGUGGUGCCUUGAUAUGUGACCCUUCAAGGUGGUGCCUUGAUGUGACCCUUCAAGGUGGUGUCUUGAUAUGUGACCCUUCAAGGUGGUGCCUUGAUAUGUAACCCUUCAAGGUGGUGCCUUGAUAUGUGACCCUUCAAGGUGGUGCCUUGAUAUGUGACCCUUCAAGGUGGUGCCUUGAUGCUGGUGAAGAGGUUUUAGGCCAGAGACUUGGCAUACACUUUUCCUGGACCAGUCUUGUUAUACCUUCGAUGAGUCUCGAGACUUUUCCUUCUCCUGGAGCUUAGGCCAGGCUUGUCUUAAUGCUAGCCUGGUCACCCAGGAGUUUGUUGCUGGUUGCUCGCUGCCCACACAUCCAGCACAGCCUGGUUGACCACUACAGGUAUGAUGACUGCCCACAAAGAUGAAAAGUGAUCAUCCAGGCUGUUGUUGCUGGUGGCUCGCUGCCCACACGUCCAGCACGGCCUGGUUGACCCCUACAGGUUUGACGGCUCCCCACAAAGAUGAAAAGUUAAAAAAUAUCUAAAGCCGUUUUCAAUUAUUUUGUUAAAUUCUUAACCGAGCCAUUAAUGUUAUUGUAAGGUUCUUCAGGGGUUCAAAUUGUUCUUUGAUCAAACUGGCUGGACUCUGGGAGUAGGACUCUCAAAACUGGCUGGACUCUGGGAGUAGGACUCUCAAAACUGGCUGGACUCUGGGAGUAGAAGGACUCUCAAAACUGGCUGGACUCUGGGAGUAGGAGGACUCUCAAAACUCAUCAAAGGUUUACCCUAUUCACAGGUUCUCUCUGACCCCUGAGAGUUUAGCACUUCCCCAUUCUAUAGUUCAAGGUUACCAGUGGUACUGCAUACGGUAACAUUAAUAAGAGAAGCAUUGAAUAACCCAUAUGAGUUUAGUGCUUUUUUGUGACUAAUAAUUGAGAAAUUCUGAAAUAGAAAGAGCACUGAAGAAUUACAUAUCUCCAAGUUGUUUUUAUUAUUAUUAUUAUUAUUAUUAUUAUUAUUAUUAUUAUUAUUAUUAUUAUUAUUCAAGUUGUACAGUGAGCAUUCUUGAUGCACCUUGGGUCAGCUUACACAAUUUAGGGUGGAAAAUGUAGACUAAGAUCGUCUUGGGACAUUUUUAAGGUCACUCUUGACUGGUGCCUAGACCUGACUGAAAUUUGGUCUAACAAUUUCCAAUCCAAAAUUGUGGGUGGCUCGUUUGUUGUUUCAAAACAGUAUUGUGGGUUGCUUGUGAGUUGUUCCAGUUAUGGUAUUAAGUCAUUUGUGAAUUGUUCCAGUGCAGUAUUGUGGGUUGCUUGUGAAUUGUUCCACCACAACAUAGUUGCUUGUGAAUUGUUCCAGCCAAUAUGUUGUAGGUUGCUUGUGAAUUAUUCCAGCACGGUGUUGUGGGUUAAUUGUGAAUUGUUCCAGCCAUGGUAUUGUGGGUUACUUGUGAUUUGUUCUUGCCAGUAUUUCGAACCCCUCAAGGAAUGUGCCUUGAUUCUGAUGAAGGGCUCUUGAUCCAAAGAGGUGGAUAUAUCUUCCACUUCCUUGGAUUGAACCAGAUUGCCUCCCAUUCCCCAUGUGCUGUAUGACCCCCUGUGGUUUUAGGUCUUUCCUAUAAUUCAUCUUGGUGACAUCCUCUCAGUUGAUGUCAUUCUCUCAAAUACCUCUGUCUCUUCCCUUCCCCCUGCCCCCCAUGCUGUUCAGGGCUGUGACACCCAUGUGGUUUUAGCUCUCUCCAUGAAUGCCAGUAAUAAUGUCCUCGGUAAAUCACAUCAUGCACAAAGAAGGUCGAAUCUGCCAACUGCAAAAAUAAACACAAAUACCCUAUUGAGGAAUGAAUCUUGAUUUAUUGGGAAUGUACGUUCUUAAACAGAUUUAACUGAAUGACGAGAAACACUUUUAAACGAAGCGUUAGUGUAUAUGUAAUUUUUUUUUAUUUAUACAUUCAAGUUGACAUUUUUGCAAAGAAUUAGUUUUAAAAACAGCAUUAAUAUUUUUGUUAAAUAGCUGGAUCAACACAUCUUUUCAUUUCUACAAUGAAAGUUAGAUGAUUGUUUUAUGAUAUGCAGUUUCUGUGUAUACAUUGAGUGAAAUGUAUCAUUUCAAGAGAUCUUCUGCCACCUAAAGUGUGUCUAGUGCCUCUAGAUUGACAACAUACUAGGUUAAGUUGUGUACAGUUGUGUGUCCACUAAGCCAUGUAUAUGUAUAGCAUAUGUAGGGAUGCCAUAUUUAUUAUUAUUAAGAAGCAAGUUGUUCAGGAACCUGCUGAGCUGAUUGUGGUGUAUAUUGGUCAUUGAGACUAUGGAGUCCACAGAAUAUAUAGCGAGUCCCAAGCUUACAGAUGCUGGAGUUACAAUCAUCUGCAGGUACAAACAAGGUCGUAAGUAACGAGAUUUACAAAUACUGUAUAAUUUUCCUGCUGUCCAACUUCGAUUACAAACAUGUAUGACACAUACCUUUCCUUUGUACUGUUUUUUCUAUAAGAAAAUCAUUCUGAUUAACUUUCUAAGUAAUGAAUAAUGUGUGUAGGUUGGAAUACCAGGGAUGUAACUCUUUGAGAUCCCUUGUGUUUGAUAUUAUUACAGUAGCACCUGUAAGGACAGGAUAUAAUUCCUCUACUGAUCUGAUUGAAUGUACUUUGUAAUAUGCUAAUAUAAGUAUAAUGUACUAGUUGUUUCGACUGGUUUGAUUUAAAGUCUAUCUACUACACAAGGGUCAUUAAGACUGUCACCUGUACAACAACACUCUUAAAAGAAAUUUUAAUCCCUAAAAAUGGGAUUGUAACUCAGCAUAUACAUGAUGAGAUAAACAUAUAUCUUCAUAUAUAUAUCCUAGUAGUAUACCAGUACUGUACAUUACAAACAUGAAUAUGUAGCUGGGAAAUUGAGCACUUGCAUUUUGUAAGCCAAAUAAGUUAGGUAUAUUACCCUCCAUGGUAGGGUAAUGGUAAGAAUAUUUCUUUUGUAUUCUGUGAGUUGAAUUAAAGAAUGUAAUGAUUGUC
Molecule: non-coding RNA, 7648 nt
Organism: Cherax quadricarinatus
Lineage: Eukaryota; Metazoa; Arthropoda; Malacostraca; Decapoda; Parastacidae
Source: RefSeq, a predicted model, not a curated record